This 452-nucleotide ribosomal RNA is filed under the name uncultured bacterium. Its description in RNAcentral is "bacterial SSU rRNA". It matches the Rfam family "Bacterial small subunit ribosomal RNA", at positions 338 to 795 of the family's 1533-position model. The record is from RNAcentral.
CCUANGGGAGGCAGCAGUGGGGAAUUUUGGACAAUGGGCGAAAGCCUGAUCCAGCGACGCCGCGUGGAGGACGAAGGUUUUCGGAUCGUAAACUCCUUUUACAGGGGACGAAAGCCCGCAAGGGUUUGACAGUACUCUGUGAAUAAGCCACGGCUAACUACGUGCCAGCAGCCGCGGUAAUACGUAGGUGGCGAGCGUUACUCGGAUUUACUAGGCGUAAAGCGUGUGUAGGCGGGAGCUUAAGUUCGUUGUUAAAUUCCAGGGCUUAACCCUGGACUGUCGACGAAUACUGGGUUUCUUGAGUGAGGUAGGGGAAACUGGAAUUCCAGGUGUAGCGGUGAAAUGCGUAGAUAUCUGGAAGAACGCCAAAGGCGAAGGCAGGUUUCUGGGCCUUUACUGACGCUGAGGCGCGAAAGCGUGGGGAGCAAACAGGAUUAGAUACCCGANUANUC